AGCAGCCGCGGUAAUCCCAGCUCCAAUAGCGUAUAUUAAAGUUGUUGCAGUUAAAAAGCUCGUAGUUGAACUUCGGGGUUUACCCAUUGGUCAGGCUUAAUUGUCUGUACUGAUGAGAUGAAUCUCUACCUUCUGAGGAACUUUCAUGCCAUUUAUUUGGUGUGAUGGGAAAUCAGGACUGUUACUUUGAAAAAUUGAGUGUUUAAAGCAGGCUAACGUCUGAAUACAUUAGCAUGGAAUAAUGAAAUAGGACGGACUGAUUCUAUUUCGUUGGUUUCUAGGAUCACCGUAAUGAUUAAUAGGGAUAGUUGGGGGCAUUAGUAUUCAAUUGUCAGAGGUGAAAUUCUUGGAUUUAUUGAAGACUAACUACUGCGAAAGCAUUUGCCAAGGAUGUUUUCAUUAAUCAAG
This 408-nucleotide ribosomal RNA is filed under the name uncultured Diversispora. Its description in RNAcentral is "SSU rRNA". It matches the Rfam family "Eukaryotic small subunit ribosomal RNA", at positions 569 to 981 of the family's 1831-position model. The record is from RNAcentral. Lineage: Eukaryota; Fungi; Glomeromycota; Glomeromycetes; Diversisporales; Diversisporaceae.